AGCUGAACAUCAUGGAAGAUACCUGGGUUAUAGAUGGGAUAAUAUCUACACAUUCAUGGGGAUUGCUGACCAAACACACAUGUUUUCCAUUUUGAAGCUGCCUUUUUAAGUUCAAAGGUCAUCCUCAGCUUCCUGGUGCUUCUGCAUAUUUGCACAGCUUCAGUACUUCUUCUCCUGUCAUGUACAGCUCGCGACUUUGUUUAAACCACGGAACAAGGGGCCUUGCUGUUACUACAUUGCUGAAGUAUUUCUGCCAUCUAAUUUGCUGUUCAGAGACUUGUUCCACUGCAUUAAUGACAGCAGUUAAUUUUAUUUUUAUUAAAGAAAAUUGCAUUUUAGUUUUAUGCAAGUUCAAAGUUUGA
Molecule: long non-coding RNA, 362 nt
Organism: Protopterus annectens (West African lungfish)
Lineage: Eukaryota; Metazoa; Chordata; Ceratodontiformes; Protopteridae
Exons: 3
Source: RefSeq, a predicted model, not a curated record